Molecule: ribosomal RNA, 1940 nt
Filed under: Glaeseria mira
Lineage: Eukaryota; Tubulinea; Elardia; Euamoebida; Hartmannellidae
Description: SSU rRNA
Rfam family: Eukaryotic small subunit ribosomal RNA
Source: RNAcentral
UGCUUGUUUAAAAGAUUAAGCCAUGCAUGUCUAAGUAUAAGUGAUUAUACAGCGAAACUGCAAAUGGCUCAUUAUAUCAGUUAUAAUCUACUUGAUCGAUAAAGUUACUUGGAUAACUGUAGGAAUUCUAGAGCUAAUACAUGCAAAAGGGUUGGAGUGGGGUUAAACCUGCAAAGACCGCAUUUACUAGCCCAGAAACCAGCUCGGGGUAUUCCAAACUUGUGUCAUCAGUAAAAUGGUGGCAGAGGGCCUCGAACUCCUUAGGUGAAUCACAGUAAGUCUAUGCAAAUCGAAGACUAAAGUCUUCGAUGAUGCAAACGAGUAUCUGCCCUAUCAACUUUCAAUCGUAGUGUAGGGGACUACGAUGGUUGUAACGGGUACGGGGAAUUAGGGUUCGAUUCCGGAGAGUUAGCCUUAAAAAUAGCUAACAUUACCAAGGUAAGCAGCAGGCGCGUAAAUUAUCCAAUCCCAAUUCGGGGAGAUAGUGACAAGAAAUAUCGGUGUGGAGCUCUAAUGGGUUUCACGAUCGAAAUGAGUACAAUUUAAAAACCUUAACGAGGAACAAUUGGAGGGCAAGUCUGGUGCCAGCAGCCGCGGUAAUUCCAGCUCCAAUAGCGUAUAUUAAAGUUGUUGCGGUUAAAAAGCUCGUAGUUGGACUCCGGGUUGAAGCGUGUUGGUCCCCUUGUUGAUGUCAUUUCCCUUUUGGGUUUUGAUUAUUGCUUGGGAUUAAAAAGGCCAAGCGUCUUCUUCUCAACUAUAUCUGUACUCGCAAAAACAGUACUAAAAAUAUUUUUUUUUUAGUAUUGGAAUACAGAAAUUUACUUUGAAUAAAUUAGAGUGUUCAAAGCAGGCGAAAUCGUCUUGAAUACAUUAGCAUGGGAUAAUAAAAUACGACCUUUGGUCUAGAUUUACUGGUUUCUAAGGCCGAGGUAAUGAUUAAUAGGGACAGUUGGGGUCGCUUGUACUCAGUGGUAAGAGGUGAAAUUCUAGGACCCAUUGAAGACAAACAAGUGCGAAGGCAUUCGACAAGGAUGUUUUCAUUAAUCAAGAACGAAAGUUAUGGGAUCGAAGAUGAUCAGAUACCGUCGUAGUCAUAACCGUAAACUAUGUUGACUCAGGAUCUGUAGAAGUUACAUGGAUGACUCUGCAGGCACUGUGUGCGAAAGCAUAAGUAUUCGAACUCCGGGGGGAGUAUGGUCGCAAGGCUGAAACUUAAAGGAAUUGACGGAAGGGCACCACCAGGAGUGGAACCUGCGGCUUAAUUUGACUCAACACGGGGAAACUUACCCAGUCCGGACGCGACGAGGAUUGACAGAUUGAUAGUUCUUUCUUGAUUUUGUGGGAGCCGGUGCAUGGCCGUUUUUAGUUGGUGGAGUGAUUUGUCUGGUUAAGUCCGAUAACGAACGAGACCUAAUUUUAUUAAAUAGUACUGCGAACAAGGGGGUCGCUGGUGAAGAAGAAGUUUGUGAUGGGAAACUGUUACAAUUUCUUUUUUAUCAGGGCUUCCAUUCAUUUGUUCGUAGCCAAUAAUAUACUUCUUAGAGAGACCCUUGGUACAACAACAGCCAAUGGAAGUUUUAGGCAAAAACAGGUCUGUGAUGCCGCUAGAUGUCUGGGGCUGCACGCGCGUUACACUGAUGUGUUCAACAAGUAUUAUAAAUUACCUAACUCGAGGGGGUUUGGGCAAUCUUGGAACGCACAUCGUGAUGGGGAUUGUGCUUUGUAACUAUCGCACAUGAACGAGGAAUUCCUAGUAAGGGCAAGUCAUCAACUUGCCCUGAUUACGUCCCUGCCCUUUGUACACACCGCCCGUCGCUUCUACCGAUCGAACUACUCGAUGAGGACUCGGGAUGUGGGGUGAUUGAAUUUCGGUUCAUGAACCUUUUCCGCAGAACCUGUUCGAAUCUCGCAGUUUAGAGGAAGAAGAAGUCGUAACAGGU